AUUACCCGCUGAACUUAAGCAUAUCAAUAAGCGGAGGAAAAGAAACCAACAGGGAUUGCCCCAGUAACGGCGAGUGAAGCGGCAACAGCUCAAAUUUGAAAUCUGGCGCAAGCCCGAGUUGUAAUUUGCAGAGGAUGUUUCUGGCGACGCGCCUUCCGAGUUCCCUGGAACGGGACGCCAUAGAGGGUGAGAGCCCCGUACGGUUGGAUGCCUAGCCUCUGUGAAACUCCUUCGACGAGUCGAGUAGUUUGGGAAUGCUGCUCUAAAUGGGAGGUAUACGUCUUCUAAAGCUAAAUACCGGCCAGAGACCGAUAGCGCACAAGUAGAGUGAUCGAAAGAUGAAAAGCACUUUGAAAAGAGGGUUAAAAAGUACGUGAAAUUGUUGAAAGGGAAGCGUUCAUGACCAGACUUGGGCAGGUUGAUCAUCCGUGGUUCUCCGCGGUGCACUCUGCCUGCCCAGGCCAGCAUCAGUUCGCUCCGGGGGAUAAAGGCUUUGGGAAUGUGGCUCCCUCGGGAGUGUUAUAGACCACUGCGUAAUACCCUGGGGUGGACUGAGGUUCGCGCUCUGCAAGGAUGCUGGCGUAAUGGUCAUCAACGACCCGUCUUGAAACACGGACCAAGGAGUCGUCUUCGUAUGCGAGUGUUCGGGUGUCAAACCCCUACGCGUAAUGAAAGUGAACGUAGGAGAGAGCUUCGGCGCAUCUCCGACCGAUCCUGAUGUUCUCGGAUGGAUUUGAGUAAGAGCAUACGGGGCCGGACCCGAAAGAAGGUGAACUAUGCCUGUAUAGGGUGAAGCCAGAGGAAACUCUGGUGGAGGCUCGCAGCGGUUCUGACGUGCAAAUCGAUCGUCAAAUAUGGGCAUGGGGGCGAAAGACUAAUCGAACCCUUCUU
Molecule: ribosomal RNA, 891 nt
Filed under: Clonostachys moreaui
Lineage: Eukaryota; Fungi; Ascomycota; Sordariomycetes; Hypocreales; Bionectriaceae
Description: Clonostachys sp. CL-2020a partial large subunit ribosomal RNA
Rfam family: Eukaryotic large subunit ribosomal RNA
Source: RNAcentral